ACGGAAGGCAGCAGUGGGGAAUAUUGCACAAUGGGGGAAACCCUGAUGCAGCGACGCCGCGUGAGUGAAGAAGUAUUUCGGUAUGUAAAGCUCUAUCAGCAGGGAAGAAAAUGACGGUACCUGACCAAGAAGCCCCGGCUAACUACGUGCCAGCAGCCGCGGUAAUACGUAGGGGGCAAGCGUUAUCCGGAUUUACUGGGUGUAAAGGGAGCGUAGACGGUAAUGCAGGUCAGAAGUGAAAGCCCAGGGCUCAACCGUGGGACUGCUUUUGAAACUGCAGUACUGGAGUGCAGGAGAGGUAAGUGGAAUUCCUAGUGUAGCGGUGAAAUGCGUAGAUAUUAGGAGGAACACCAGUGGCGAAGGCGGCUUACUGGACUGUAACUGACGUUGAGGCUCGAAAGCGUGGGGAGCAAACAGGAUUAGAUACCCUGGUA
This 434-nucleotide ribosomal RNA is filed under the name uncultured Clostridium sp. RNAcentral's name for it is "partial 16S ribosomal RNA". It matches the Rfam family "Bacterial small subunit ribosomal RNA", at positions 341 to 792 of the family's 1533-position model. The record is from RNAcentral. Lineage: Bacteria; Bacillati; Bacillota; Clostridia; Eubacteriales; Clostridiaceae.